RNAcentral lists this transfer RNA (72 nucleotides) under Bos taurus (domestic cattle). It matches the Rfam family "tRNA". Rfam says of the family: Transfer RNA (tRNA) molecules are approximately 80 nucleotides in length. RNAcentral also lists the same sequence under 5 other names. The record is from Rfam by way of RNAcentral. Lineage: Eukaryota; Metazoa; Chordata; Mammalia; Artiodactyla; Bovidae.
UCUCUGGUGGUCCGGUGGUUAGGACUUGGCGCUUUCACUGCCAUGGCUCAGGUUCAAUCCCAGAUCAGGAAA